CACGUGCCAUCUGCUCCUGCCAGUCAAAGCACUCGUGACCAUUCAUCAGGCUAAUCAUGCACAUCAGCGCUACGCUGUGCGCAUCAGCCCCCAGCAGGACACGCACCUCCAGGUGGGAAGUGCUCCAGUUGCUGUGUGGAGAUGUCAAGAAGUGAUCAGGCUGAGUGCAUAAAUAUAUCGCCAGACAAAAUGAGGCUGGGAGCUCCCGCUCGUCUGCGUCCUACUUCAGGAAAAUUGCCAGUCUCCGCUAUUAGGGUUCUCCCAUCUCGCGUUCUCGCUGCCUCUCUCUCUGGAGCGGCUGAUGAAAGCCCGGGUCUGAUCUCGGGCUCUGAUAAAAAUAGAAGCCACAGGACGGUCCAAUCUGACACGCUGUCAACAUGAUUCCAGUGCUCCCACCACGGGCACGGGCCCCAGAGGAGCCGCAUUCGGGAACAGACCCGGACCCAGUUUCAGAACGGCUGUCGCUUAUAAAACGAGACAAACAAAAAGAGGAAACUGCACCCAGACCAGGAGCCCUCGAAAGACACUUGCUGUUUGAUUUUGAUUAAAUAAUUGGUGCAAUUGCU
Molecule: long non-coding RNA, 566 nt
Organism: Betta splendens (Siamese fighting fish)
Lineage: Eukaryota; Metazoa; Chordata; Actinopteri; Anabantiformes; Osphronemidae
Exons: 3
Source: RefSeq, a predicted model, not a curated record